UACGUAGGGUGCGAGCGUUGUCCGGAUUUAUUGGGCGUAAAGAGCUCGUAGGCGGUUUGUCGCGUCGGCCGUGAAAUCUCCACGCUUAACGUGGAGCGUGCGGUCGAUACGGGCAGACUUGAGUUCGGUAGGGGAGACUGAAAUUCCUGGUGUAGCGGUGAAAUGCGCAGAUAUCAGGAGGAACACCGGUGGCGAAGGCGGGUCUCUGGGCCGAUACUGACGCUGAGGAGCGAAAGCGUGGGGAGCGAACAGG
RNAcentral lists this ribosomal RNA (253 nucleotides) under uncultured bacterium. RNAcentral describes it as "partial 16S ribosomal RNA". It matches the Rfam family "Bacterial small subunit ribosomal RNA", at positions 524 to 776 of the family's 1533-position model. The record is from RNAcentral.